RNAcentral lists this ribosomal RNA (253 nucleotides) under uncultured bacterium. RNAcentral's name for it is "partial 16S ribosomal RNA". It matches the Rfam family "Bacterial small subunit ribosomal RNA", at positions 524 to 776 of the family's 1533-position model. The record is from RNAcentral.
UACGUAGGGUGCGAGCGUUGUCCGGAAUUAUUGGGCGUAAAGAGCUCGUAGGCGGCUUGUCGCGUCGUCCGUGAAAACUUGGGGCUCAACCCCAAGCUUGCGGUCGAUACGGGCAGGCUCGAGUUCGGUAGGGGAGACUGGAAUUCCUGGUGUAGCGGUGAAAUGCGCAGAUAUCAGGAGGAACACCGGUGGCGAAGGCGGGUCUCUGGGCCGAUACUGACGCUGAGGAGCGAAAGCGUGGGGAGCGAACAGG